CCUACGGGUGGCAGCAGUCGAGAAUCAUUCACAAUGGGGGAAACCCUGAUGGUGCGACGCCGCGUGGGGGAAUGAAGGUCUUCGGAUUGUAAACCCCUGUCAUGUGGGGGCAAAUCAAGAAGAUAGUACCACAAGAGGAAGAGACGGCUAACUCUGUGCCAGCAGCUGCGGUAAUGCAGAGGUCUCAAGCGUUGUUCGGAAUCAGUGGGCGUAAGGGGUGCGUAGGCUGUUUCGUAAGUCGUGUGUGAAAGGCGCGGGCUCAACCCGCGGACGGCACAUGAUACUGCGAGACUAGAGUAAUGGAGCGGGAGCCGGAAUGCUCGGUGUAGCAGUGAAAUGCGUAGAUAUC
Molecule: ribosomal RNA, 349 nt
Filed under: uncultured bacterium
Lineage: Bacteria
Description: partial 16S ribosomal RNA
Rfam family: Bacterial small subunit ribosomal RNA
Source: RNAcentral